This is a long non-coding RNA of Osmerus eperlanus (European smelt), 4078 nucleotides long. RefSeq lists it as uncharacterized. The transcript has 2 exons. Lineage: Eukaryota; Metazoa; Chordata; Actinopteri; Osmeriformes; Osmeridae. The record is from RefSeq and is a predicted model, not a curated record.
UUGAAACUAUAUUGAGAGAUUAACGUGAUAAUACCUAGGUUAAGGGGGUGGUAUAGCUAGAGAUACUGUAUAAUGUCCGUUGUGUGCUGUGUUCUUAAUAACGAUACAUUUGAACUAUGAAGUGAUCUAACUAUUACAUGACGCAGGUAGGGGGGGCAGGGGUUGGGGUGAUGGGGGGGCAGGACUGACUGCAGCACACCAAAUAUAUUUUUUAUAGACAAAAGCAUCUCAAGAUGAGCAAUGCGGUGUUAUUUUGUGUUCGUUUUGGUUCUCUCUUUCGAACAGUGCUGAAUCCUAACCUGAGAUCCUAAAACAAAAUCCCUCAACCACGCCGUAGUGAUUUUGAUGCAUCUGGAAGUGAACGAUUCAGCCCGAAAGUUUAUUUUCUUUCUUGGGGGUUCUUGAGUUUACGAAAGCCCGGUGUAAAUAGGUAGCUGCCGGUUAGCUCCCCCCUGCUCUAUGUUGUAGCUGCCCCUCCUCCCUGUGUGUGCUUGGUAGGGGUUUGCAUGGUGUUUCCUUACCCUACCACCUUUUCAAGAGACUAUCCCUGGCCAAACUCGUACAGUUACGGCGUAAAGAGAUGGAGUCGGAGGGCGGGAAUGGAGGGACGGAGUUGAAAGUCGUAACACAUUCUCUUAAGUUCUUGUGUUCGUUGUGGCGGUGGCGGUAUGUAGCUGUAGCUUUGAUAUCUAGCUAACCGUUGGCAUUCUAUGUCUUGUGAGGACGGAUUGGUCUCGAACUUUGCAUCUAUGUUUUUUUCUUCUUCUCUGCCCGACUUGGAAAGUUCACCACACCACUCGCCCCCCAACUCCCCACCCCCCUCUUGUGGAUUUAACGAUGGCUGGAGUUUGGCUAGGGAUGCGUCUAGUGGUUUAGCAACGAGCUUAACUGCGACCGAAAUUCUAGUUAAAAGAGAUGUUCGUAUUUGCACACAUACUUCAUGCACACUCGCAUACAACACCAGCAGACACUGUAUACACACAUCAUACUAAUGAGUGGCCAGGUAUCUGGAGAAAAAGGCUUCCAAACCCUUAAGACAAGUAGGAUUUUCUUUUUUUCCUUCAUAAAAAACUGUUACAUGGUAUAAAGUACAUGGCAUGGCUUAAGCUUUCUUUUCUUUUUUUCGCACUUUGAAAAUAAAUACUUUGGGGUGGGUGGGUAUUGUAAUAAAUGUUAGUCAUUCAUAAGCCAAUGCUUGGUAGCCUGUUAUUAGAUUUGUACCGGAAAGUUGCAGUUAAAUAUGAUUCUCUGCUUCAUUUCAUAUAUUCGUUUCGGAAAGCCUUUUUCCUGUACCAGGGGUUAUGGAAGCCGUUUCCUCCUCCUGGAAACAUGACUGGUGAUGGCUAGAUACACCUGUAAUCACAGGUCUGGGGUCAGCCAGGCCUGGCCUUAGCCCAUCCUGGCCCUAGGGGCCUAGCUGAUCUCCAGCCUGUGUCUAUGGAGGGUGGAGCCCAGGGCUCAGAACUGUCUGGUAGUGUGACGUUUGACUGACAGGCGCUUUGUGAGGCUACGAUUGAUGUUAUUUCGUUCCCAUGACUCUCUAGGGGGAUGCGCUUUUUCUGUGGACAAACAACUUGUUCUCGUUUAGCUGCAGUGGACUUCACUUUGAAACCAAGCGUCAUAUUAUGAUGAUUUGUUUUUUGUUUUACAGAGCGGAUAUCACUAGUUGCAACAGUUGGUGUUGUUAUGGCUAUUGGCACUUAAUCUGCAAUCUUAAAAUAUUAAGACAAAUCUGAAUUUGUUUUAAUAUUUUCGCUUGGAUGUUUACUAUAUUACAAUGACUGUGUUGGAGUAAAACUUUGUUUCACUGACAUGCACAUUUUGAAAGUGGAAAUAUUCAAAUUGAGUAUGGCUGCAAGCUUUAGAAAUGCAAAUAGUUAUCCACAGAACAAGUGCACUUCUAGAUAUAAAAGGUGAUAGAAAUUCUAGAAAUCAUGGUAAUUGAGCAACAAAACUUACUCUACUGUGCUAAUGUGUAGAGGAUCAUUUAUAUCAGUAGUUUUUGGCUUCUUGUCUCCCUCAGGCAAGAAACAAGUGGAUCAAACUACAAAAAAAUAAAAACUAUAUUUAUAUUUAUGAAAAAUAGUACAAAUGCACUCCUAUUCACUAAAGUGCCAAUCCGACCAACAAAGACUGAAGGUUGAAAUGUCUGUCUAUGACUUAUUGAAUUCUAUUUUUCCUUUUUCCUUUUUUUGUACUUGAAUGUGCACACAUUUUGUGCAAAACAUUGCUGCUCUUUUUUCCUUAUCUUUAAAGUUACAUGACUUGCCAUUGUUUCUCAAAAGAAGUGGCAUUCUUUUCUUGGCCCACCUCAACGUGGGUUUGAACCUUAAAGGAGAAAAAAUAGAAAAACCUAAAAAUGGGACUUCCUUUACUGCAUUAUACUGGUCUUUCCAGACCUCCAAAUAGAUUGGUGAUAGGUAAGGCUGGUUGUUUCUAGAUGUACACAAUGAUUUGAGCGGUUUGUGUCCAAAGAGGAGACAAUACAAACUACAUCACUGGGCUUUCUGGUCAGCUGACAUAUCAGACCAGACCUUUACUUCCAUGUUUGCACAUAUGAGUAAAACCGUCUCUGUUUGUAAAUGACCUACAGAAGUGGUGUUCCUCGCUAGAGUUCUUGAUACCUCUCUUGUUUCUACGCCUGAAUCUAGAGCUCAGACCCUUACUGCAGAUGGUGGUACUGUGAUUGAAAAAUCAAACUCAGGCGACCACCCCAUUUUUUUUUUUUUUUGGUCCGCCAAAAACUUAUUAAAAGCCAUCUUUCAGUACAACCAAUCACACAUCGUUUUCUUGCAGGGUAAGCUGUGAUCAGUUUUUUUUUUUUAUCGUCCGAUUCAGCAUUGGACCACAAAUCUAAAUCCGAUCAGAACAACCAACAACUCCUGCAGUAGAUGUGCUCCAAACCCAACAUCCGUAGGGAUGUGCUUCAAACCCAACAUCCGCAGGGAUGUGCUCCAAACCCAACAUCCGCAGGGAUGUGCUUCAAACCCAACAUCCGCAGGGAUGUGCUCCAAACCCAACAUCCGCAGGGAUGUGCUCCAAACCCAACAUCCGCAGGGAUGUGCUCCAAACCCAACAUCCGCAUGGAUGUGCUCCAAACUCAACAUCCGCAGGGAUGUGCUCCAAACCCAACAUCCGCAGGGAUGUGCUCCAAACCCAACAUCCGCAGGGAUGUGCUCUCUCUUCAGGCUUAUCUUCAGGCUUUGUUCCCCUCUCUCUGGGAGUGGAGUUACCAGACGGAACUACUUGACGUUUUACCCAGAUGAAAUCUGGGAUUCAUCAUUAUGCGAAGUAAUUUACAUUAAACAAGAGAUGUAAGAACUGAAGAGGAGCGUUGUGUAUGUUGUUUUACAUUUAACACGCACCGUGUUUUUUUCCCCCCCUAAAUCCUGACUCGUUCUAAUGACUUCUGAGAAGUGCUGAAAUGCCUCCUUUGACCACAUGAUGUCACUUGGAAAUAACAUGGCCUGUUUUCCUGCCUGAGCUGACGGCUACAGUUGCAAUAUAUAGGGCCUAAAGCACUUCCUCUUCAGGACAUAUGAUCAGAAAGAAAACUUACAAUUGAUCAUUCAAAAGUUGUAAUCCAGGUAUUGAUUGCAACACGGCUCAAAUUUGACUUGUCUUCCGUCCUCAAUCCUUUAAAUGUCUCUUUGAGACUGAUCUGUCUCUAGGAAAUCUCAAGUUAUGGCUCUAUGCUUGGCUUGUCAAGUGUAGCAGUCCAUGUUCAAUUGUUUACAAUGCUACAUGUUUGUAAAAUAUUUUCAUACACCCUUACUGACCAGCCCUGAUGUAUACUCUGCUCUGGUCCUAUAAUUUCUCUCUUUGAAAUGUAUUUAUUUCAAUAUCUUAUGUUUGUUUGCUUACAAAUACCCAUCUUAAACUGUGACUUGACUUGACUGCCGACGGUAUGAAUGAGUGACGAGAAACUGAUACAGUUCAACUGAACAUGACACACACAGAAACAAACAUACACAAUGCAUUAACAAUAUUAGAUAUGUAUACGAAAUAUAAGUAAAUAAAAUCUAAAGUUGUUCAGUGAAAAUACUGUACGAAAAAAUAAAGUUAUGUUGCAACCCUU